This 464-nucleotide ribosomal RNA is filed under the name uncultured bacterium. Its description in RNAcentral is "SSU rRNA". It matches the Rfam family "Bacterial small subunit ribosomal RNA", at positions 26 to 518 of the family's 1533-position model. The record is from RNAcentral.
AGGAUUAACGCUGGCGGCGUGCCUAGCACAUGCAAGUCGAACGAGGUAGCAAUACCUAGUGGCAGACGGGUGAGUAACGCGUGGUCAACCUACCGUUGAGUGGGGGAUAACUAGCCGAAAGGUUAGCUAAUACCGCAUACGAGUCUCGGGGGCAUCCCUGGGCCUUAAAAGGAGCAAUCCGCUCGAUGACGGGACCGCGUCCCAUUAGCUAGAUGGUGGGGUAAUGGCCUACCAUGGCUCCGAUGGGUAGCUGGUUUGAGAGAGCGACCAGCCACACUGGGACUGAGAAACGGCCCAGACUCCUACGGGAGGCAGCAGUGAGGAAUUUUCCGCAAUGGGCGAAAGCCUGACGGAGCGACGCCGCGUGUGGGAAGAAGGCCUUCGGGUCGUAAACCACUGUCGAAGGGGACGAUAAUGACGGUACCCUUGGAGGAAGCCCCGGCUAACUACGCGCCAGCAGCCGC